This 72-nucleotide microRNA precursor is filed under the name Microtus ochrogaster (prairie vole). Its description in RNAcentral is "miRNA (ENSMOCG00000006237.1)". Lineage: Eukaryota; Metazoa; Chordata; Mammalia; Rodentia; Cricetidae. The record is from RNAcentral.
UAAGCCAUUUCUCCAACCCCAAGAAACAGUUUUGGAAAGUGUAUUUGUGAGGCUGUAGAGAUGGCUCAGCAG